AAGAGUCAUACGUGCGGCCGAGUUUACUUGGUCGCCGUAACACUCCACCCUUUGUUUACAUAUCUUUGUUGCUUUGGCAGGCCCGCUCUCGGGCCACCGGCUUCGGCUGGUCAGCGCCUGCCAGAGGACCUAAAACUCAUGUUAAUAAUAUUGUCUGAGUACUAUAUAAUAGUUA
RNAcentral lists this unclassified non-coding RNA (175 nucleotides) under uncultured Ascomycota. RNAcentral's name for it is "sequence contains ITS1". Lineage: Eukaryota; Fungi; Ascomycota. The record is from RNAcentral.